UUGAUCAUGGCUCAGAUUGAACGCUGGCGGUAUGCUUAACACAUGCAAGUCGAACGGUAGCAGGCCUUCGGGCGCUGACGAGUGGCGGACGGGUGAGUAACGCGUAGGAAUCUGCCUCAUAGUGGGGGACAACGUGGGGAAACUCACGCUAAUACCGCAUACGCCCUACGGGGAAAGCGGGGGAUCUUCGGACCUCGCGCUAUGAGAUGAGCCUGCGUUAGAUUAGCUAGUUGGUAGGGUAAAGGCCUACCAAGGCGACGAUCUAUAGCUGGUCUGAGAGGACGAUCAGCCACACUGGGACUGAGACACGGCCCAGACUCCUACGGGAGGCAGCAGUGGGGAAUAUUGGGACAAUGGGCGCAAGCCUGAUCCAGCAAUACCGCGUGUGUGAAGAAGGCCUUAGGGUUGUAAAGCACUUUCAAUUGGGAGGAAAACCUGUCGGUCAAUACCGGCAGCUUGACAUUACCUUUAGAAGAAGCACCGGCUAACUCCGUGCCAGCAGCCGCGGUAAUACGG
Molecule: ribosomal RNA, 516 nt
Filed under: uncultured bacterium
Lineage: Bacteria
Description: bacterial SSU rRNA
Rfam family: Bacterial small subunit ribosomal RNA
Source: RNAcentral